UGGAUUGUUUGGCUGAUAAGUUAAUAGUGCUCGACAACUGUUUUGAGUUUUGCUUUCUCUAAUACUCAUGGAUUGACGUGGAGGUUAGAGCCAUGCACUGGUAUAGUACUUUAUCAUAAUGAUUUGAUUUAGCAUAGAGUUUAAGAAAGUAGCCAGGCCAGGACUUUUGAAUCUUGUCGUCUUAAACUAAACAAGAUUGUUCUAGUUCAUGAAUUC
Molecule: long non-coding RNA, 216 nt
Filed under: Capsicum annuum
Lineage: Eukaryota; Viridiplantae; Streptophyta; Magnoliopsida; Solanales; Solanaceae
Description: long non-coding RNA (CANN_LNC014614)
Source: RNAcentral